Molecule: long non-coding RNA, 394 nt
Organism: Chroicocephalus ridibundus (black-headed gull)
Lineage: Eukaryota; Metazoa; Chordata; Aves; Charadriiformes; Laridae
Exons: 4
Source: RefSeq, a predicted model, not a curated record
AGGGGAGCCUUCUGUCUCCCUUUCCACCCCUCUCCGUGAGUCUAUUUGCAGGACUGCGGAGGUGCACUGCAGGAAACUCACCUGAUGAAUGAGAACGGUGAAAAUCUCUCUGCUUAGUUUCUCUGUAGAGCCUAGCUGAGAGAGUGAGCGGCACUAAGGAGCCUUGAGCUGACCCAGAAGACAGGAAAGGACAAAAGUCAACUCCAACAACCAGUGAAUGAGGAGUUAAGGAAGGUGGUGAUUAAACCAGGUCAAAUGGAAGUGAUUAGGUUGGAUUACGCCUGUCAUGGAAAAAUUCACCAGAAGAUCGAAGAGGGAUCCCACACACACAGAUCCCAGCAAGUUCUGCUGAAAGAUACAGGACACUGCAGGCCCAGGAUGUUUCCUCGAAGUC